UUAUGAUGAAAUUAAUAACCAGCAUAUAUAGGAAUUAAUAUUAUAUUUUAACAUUUAUUUUAAUUUCUUCAUGUCUUCCUUUUUUAUAGGGUUGCAGGUUGAUGACCAUGACCUUCACUCUAUUCUUGAAAACAUGGCAAUCAAACCUACAGUUGAGGAGCUUAAUGAUCUUACUCCCAAUCUACCAGUUGAUGCUAAUGGGAAGUUUGGUGUCAGUAUCUUAACAGAUGGAAUGGAUGGAGUAAAAGCUAUCACAGGAGGAAAGGUUAAUGUGAGUAAUUCGGACAGCGUUCUGGGAGAAAUGAGAAUUAAGCUCCCAGAAAAGGAACAGGAAAAACUAACAGAAAACCUGCUACUUAAUGAAGAGAUUAUUGAUGUCAAUAAAGUGGUACUCCUUUGCAAAAUAUGGGGAUGAACUUUUCAGAAAAGGAAAUUAAUGAUCUGAUACAUGAUCUACCAGUUGAUGUCUCUUCUCCCAAGGAGGAAUUGUUGAUAUCGCUGAAUUAGACACUGCUUUGCAAAACAUGGGAAUUAAACUCACAGGAAUGGAAAGUAACCAUUUGUUAAAGAACCUACCUGUUGAUGGUGAGUAAGCAUAUACAUUUUUAUACUACUAAUUAUAACUUGAGGUGUGAGCUUAUUUUUUUUGUGCAAAUUUGUGAAACUUUAUUCUUAUUAAUUUUUUUAAAUUUAAAUUCAAUUUGCUAACAUAAAGUAUAUUACCCAGUGCUCAUCCCAUCAUGUGCCCUCCUUAGUGCCCAUCUCACAGUCACCCCUUCCCCGUUCCCCUUCCGCAACCUUUUCUUUGUUUCCCAGAGUUAGGAGUCUCUCAUGGUUUGUCUUCCUCUCUAAUUUUUCCCCACUCAGUUUCAAACUUGUGAAACUUUAAAAUAAGAAUUAAAAAUUCAAAAUAAAUUCUCAUCUGCACUUUCUCCUCUAUUUUUUUAUAAAUUUAUUUUUUAUUGGUGUUCAAUUUGCCAACAUAUAGAAUAACACCAAGUGCUCA
RNAcentral lists this long non-coding RNA (1006 nucleotides) under Canis lupus familiaris (dog). RNAcentral describes it as "lncRNA (ENSCAFG00845021024.1)". The record is from RNAcentral. Lineage: Eukaryota; Metazoa; Chordata; Mammalia; Carnivora; Canidae.